This 781-nucleotide ribosomal RNA is filed under the name uncultured Neocallimastigales. RNAcentral's name for it is "partial large subunit ribosomal RNA". It matches the Rfam family "Eukaryotic large subunit ribosomal RNA", at positions 22 to 640 of the family's 3401-position model. Lineage: Eukaryota; Fungi; Neocallimastigomycota; Neocallimastigomycetes; Neocallimastigales. The record is from RNAcentral.
CAUAGCGACUAUCGUGGCAUAUCAAUAAGCGGAGGAAAAGAAACUAACUAAGGAUUCCCCUCAGUAACGGCGAGUGAAGCGGGAAGAGCUCAAAUUUGAAAUCUUCAAGGGUUUACCUUGACGAAUUGUAGUUUAAAGAAGUGUUUUCUGUUAGAGAGGUGGUAAAAGUUCUUUGGAAUAGGACAUCAUAGAGGGUGAGAAUCCCGUAUUUGAUCACUUUCUACUAACGUUGUGAUACACUUUCAAAGAGUCGGAUUGUUUGGGAAUGCAGUCCAAAAUGGGUGGUAAAUUUCAUCUAAAGCUAAAUAUUGGCGAGAGACCGAUAGCGAACAAGUACCGUGAGGGAAAGAUGAAAAGAACUUUGAAAAGAGAGUUAAACAGUACGUGAAAUUGUCAAAAGGGAAGCGUUUGACACCAGUGUUGUUUUUCCGAAAAUCAAUUAUGAAUGGCCUGAUUUUAAGUUUCAUGACCUUAAAAGCUUGUUUCUUAUUUUUCUUGUCUUUCUUAAUGCACUUUUCGGUUAACAAGUCAACAUCAAUUUCUUUUGUUGUAAAAGGGUAAGAGGAAGGUGGCUUACGCUUCGGGUAAGUGUUUAUAGCCUUUUACCUCUGCAAUCGGAGAGAUUGAGGUACAUGCAGCGUAGACUCCUUCGGGGCUAGAUACACUUUGUGCUAAGAUAUAGCCUUGUCAUAGACAACUUGUUGACUAUGUUAGUCAUUGUAGCUUACUCGCAUGCUGCUAUUUUACCUACGCUUAGGAUGUUGAUAUGCAUGACUGAUAU